This 22-nucleotide microRNA is filed under the name Brugia malayi. Its description in RNAcentral is "bma-miR-5363-3p". Lineage: Eukaryota; Metazoa; Nematoda; Chromadorea; Rhabditida; Onchocercidae. The record is from miRBase by way of RNAcentral.
ACGGUUUGAAUGUUGUCCAACA